This 726-nucleotide ribosomal RNA is filed under the name Hypotyphlus pandellei. RNAcentral describes it as "partial large subunit ribosomal RNA". The stretch from base 320 to 479 matches the Rfam family "Bacterial large subunit ribosomal RNA", at positions 2473 to 2632 of the family's 2925-position model. The record is from RNAcentral. Lineage: Eukaryota; Metazoa; Arthropoda; Insecta; Coleoptera; Carabidae.
UUUAAUGGCUGCAGUAAUUAUAAUUAGUUUUUUAAUUAAAAGCUUGAAUGAAUGGUUGGACGAAAUAAAAUCUGUCUUUAUUUAAUUUAUAUUAGAAUUUAAUUUUUAAAUUAAAAAGUUUAAAUUUUUUUAAAAGACGAGAAGACCCUAUAGAGUUUAAUAAUUUAUUUUAUAUAAUUAAUUUAGAUUUAUUUAUUUUAUAUAUAAUAAUUUAUUUUAUUGGGGUAAUAUAAAGAUUAAAGUAAUUCUUUAUUUUUAAUUUAUUGAUUUAUAUUUUUUUGAGCCAUUAAUAAUGAUUAUUAGUUUAAAUUACCUUAGGGAUAACAGCGUAAUUUUUUUAGAGAGUUCAUAUUGAUAAAAAAGUUUGCGACCUCGAUGUUGGAUUAAAGAUUAAUUUAGGUGCAAAAGUUUAAAUAAUUUGGUCUGUUCGACCAUUAAAUCUUUACAUGAUCUGAGUUCAGACCGGUGUAAGCCAGGUCGGUUUCUAUCUUUAUUUAAUUAAUAUAUUUUAGUACGAAAGGACCAAAUAUUGAUUAUAAUAAUUAAUAUUUGAAUAAUAUUAAGUUAUUUUGGCAGAUUAGUGCAAUGAAUUUAGAAUUCAUAUAUGUAAUUUAAUUACAGGUAAUAUUUGUUUUAUAUUGAUUUAAUUUUUAUAUUUAUUAUUAUAUUUUUAUUAAUUAUUUGUGUAUUAAUUGGAGUAGCUUUUUUAACUUUAUUAGAACGAAA